CCACCACCAUUUUCCCUCCCCAUUCCAGCAACUGUCCCGAGAUAUCUGGGCAGACGUCACGCGGCCGGAGCUGUGGCUGUGUGAAGUUGUCUCCGGACACUGGACAAGGCUUUCACUUGGUCGUGCAUAAAAGCCUUGAGGCAUCAGAUGGUCUCGUGCCUGCCCUGUGUACCAUAUAAACUGUGAGGAAGCAAAUCAGUAAGCUGCCAAACUUUUGGAAGAAGACACCUCUCCUGUCUCCUCCAGAGCUCUCCGACUAGGCUAUGAUGAGAACUUCAGCACCAACAGUCACAGUGAGAUUCCACCUCAAUUGGCUCUUACCUCCAGAAGACAGCAGAAAAGCCACCUUUCUCCAGGAGCGGUCCGGGUCCUGGAAAGGCUGGAGCCGCAUCAAGCAGGCUGGGACAUAUUCAAGCACGUCACUGAGACCAACAGGCAGCAGCAAGAGCUGCAGCGGCAGCCGCCCUGAGGCCUGGCACCAAGACGCCUUGCCCCGAGGGGGGAAUACCUGUUUAG
Long non-coding RNA from Gavia stellata (red-throated loon), 516 nucleotides. RefSeq lists it as uncharacterized. The record is from RefSeq and is a predicted model, not a curated record. NCBI's taxonomy places the organism in Eukaryota, Metazoa, Chordata, Aves, Gaviiformes, Gaviidae. The transcript has 3 exons.